RNAcentral lists this long non-coding RNA (213 nucleotides) under Vicia faba (fava bean). Lineage: Eukaryota; Viridiplantae; Streptophyta; Magnoliopsida; Fabales; Fabaceae. The record is from RNAcentral.
AUGGUAAAGUUCAUUUGUCAAUCUCUUAUAUUGGGACUUUUUUGCAUUGCGUUGGUCAUGGCUUCAGGAGCAACAGUGGAUUUAGAAGACAGUUCAGUUUAUAAAUGCAUUGCUGCAUGCGAUAGUAAAUGUGUCCAAACGUGCAAUGCUAGGGGAUUUAGUAAUGGAGCUUGUUUCGCAAUGUUUUGUUGUUGUUUCAACAAUGGAAAGUAG